Molecule: ribosomal RNA, 613 nt
Filed under: Episcia fimbriata
Lineage: Eukaryota; Viridiplantae; Streptophyta; Magnoliopsida; Lamiales; Gesneriaceae
Description: eukaryotic LSU rRNA
Rfam family: 5.8S ribosomal RNA (bases 239-394)
Source: RNAcentral
UCGAGACCUGCAAAGCAAACCCGCGAACACGUUUCCAACACGCUUGGGUUCGCGCCGUCGGAUGCCUCGGCGUCCCUCGUCGCGCUCCCUUAUCGACGACUCACGCUUGCGUGGGUCGUUCCGGUUAACGAACAUCCCGGCGCGGCAUGCGAAAGGGAAACUGUCACGAGAAAGCCUGCCCCCGCGAAUAUCGUUCGCGAUGCAUCGCGGGCGGCACUUGCCUCUUGAAUCACCUAAACACUCUCGGCAACGGAUAUCUCGGCUCUCGCAUCGAUGAAGAACGUAGCGAAAUGCGAUACUUGGUGUGAAUUGCAGAAUCCCGUGAACCAUCGAGUCUUUGAACGCAAGUUGCGCCCGAAGCCAUUAGGUCGAGGGCACGUCUGCCUGGGCGUCACGCAUCGCNUCGCCCCCUCCCACCCCUCUGUGAGAGCGGGUGAAUCCAAGGGGACGGACAUUGGGCUCCCGUGCUCUUCUCGUGCGGCCGGCUUAAAUUUGAGUCCUCGUCGACGGAUGUCACGACUAGUGGUGGUUGGAUCAAUCGCGUGCUGUCGUGCAAGACCCCGUCGGACUGUGGACGUCAGUACCGACCCACUAAUGCCACGCGCAUUCGACU